RNAcentral lists this ribosomal RNA (253 nucleotides) under uncultured bacterium. Its description in RNAcentral is "partial 16S ribosomal RNA". It matches the Rfam family "Bacterial small subunit ribosomal RNA", at positions 524 to 776 of the family's 1533-position model. The record is from RNAcentral.
UACGGAGGAUCCAAGCGUUAUCCGGAUUUAUUGGGUUUAAAGGGUGCGUAGGCGGCGUUGUAAGUCAGUGGUGAAAGUUUUCAGCUUAUCUGGAAAAUUGCCAUUGAUACUGCAGUGCUUGAGUACAGAUGAGGUGGGCGGAAUGUGUCAUGUAGCGGUGAAAUGCAUAGAUAUGACACAGAACACCAAUUGCGAAGGCAGCUCACUAAACUGUAACUGACGCUGAGGCACGAAAGCGUGGGGAUCAAACAGG